AGAGUUUGAUCCUGGCUCAGGAUGAACGCUAGCGGCAGGCCUAAUACAUGCAAGCCGAACGGUAAUUCAAGUAGCAAUAUUUGGACAAGAGUGGCGUAAGGGUGCGUAACACGUAUGCAAUCUACCCGCAACAGGAGGAUAGCUCCCCGAAAGGGGAAUUAAUACUCCAUACAAUCAUUUGAGGGCAUCUGAGGAUGAUAAAACCUACGGGGGUUGCGGAUGAGCAUGCGUCUGAUUAGCUAGUUGGUAGUGUAACGGACUACCAAGGCGAUGAUCAGUAGGGGAACUGAGAGGUUGAUCCCCCACACUGGCACUGAGAUACGGGCCAGACUCCUACGGGAGGCAGCAGUAGGGAAUAUUGGACAAUGGGUGCGAGCCUGAUCCAGCCAUGCCGCGUGCAGGAAGACGGCCUUCUGGGUUGUAAACUGCUUUUACCUGGGGAUAAAAAGCCCAUGCGUGGGAAACUGAAGGUACCAGGAGAAUAAGCCACGGCUAACUACGUGCCAGCAGCCGCGGUAAUACGUAGGUGGCGAGCGUUGUCCGGAUUUAUUGGGUUUAAAGGGUGCGUAGGCGUCCCGGCAAGUUUCAGGUGAAAUGCUCGAGCUCAACUCGAGAACUGCCAGAAAAACUGUUGGGAUUGAGUGCUAGCGAGGCAGGCGGAAUUGACGGUGUAGCGGUGAAAUGCAUAGAUAUCGUCAAGAACACCGAUAGUGAAGACAGCCUGCCAGGGAGCCACUGACGCUGAGGCACGAAAGUGUGGGGAUCAAACAGGAUUAGAUACCCUGGUAGUCC
RNAcentral lists this ribosomal RNA (792 nucleotides) under uncultured bacterium. Its description in RNAcentral is "bacterial SSU rRNA". It matches the Rfam family "Bacterial small subunit ribosomal RNA", at positions 8 to 796 of the family's 1533-position model. The record is from RNAcentral.